AGUCUUCCCCUCCCCUUCCCCUCUGCUCCCCAGUAAACACAAACACACAUGGACAAGGCAUGCGCUGCCCUGAAGGAAAGCCCCCUUCUGGUUGGGGGCUGCAGAGGGGGUGUCAGAGACAAGAUCAAAAGUGCCACACCAGAGGUUCCUCCACACCUCUGAACCCCAUUCUUACUCCCCUCCUCACUCUUCCUCCCUGUGCUGGACUCACCUUCAACUUCCUGGUGAGGACAGCAAGAGGAGCUGGCACUUGGUUGGGGGUAGAGUGUUGUUUUUUGUUUUGGAAUAAACAGCUGUUUUCCUGA
This 305-nucleotide long non-coding RNA is filed under the name Rattus norvegicus (Norway rat). Its description in RNAcentral is "long non-coding RNA NONRATT002307". The record is from RNAcentral. Lineage: Eukaryota; Metazoa; Chordata; Mammalia; Rodentia; Muridae.